AGGUAUUGGCGUGCCUCAAUC
RNAcentral lists this microRNA (21 nucleotides) under Oryza sativa (Asian cultivated rice). RNAcentral's name for it is "osa-miR171i-5p". Its record names the gene osa-miR171i-5p. The record is from miRBase by way of RNAcentral. RNAcentral also lists the same sequence under 1 other name. Lineage: Eukaryota; Viridiplantae; Streptophyta; Magnoliopsida; Poales; Poaceae.